UGAUCCAGCCAUGCCGCGUGAGUGAUGAAGGCCCUAGGGUUGUAAAGCUCUUUCAACGGUGAAGAUAAUGACGGUAACCGUAGAAGAAGCCCCGGCUAACUUCGUGCCAGCAGCCGCGGUAAUACGAAGGGGGCUAGCGUUGUUCGGAAUUACUGGGCGUAAAGCGCACGUAGGCGGAUUGUUAAGUUAGGGGUGAAAUCCCAGGGCUCAACCCUGGAACUGCCUUUAAUACUGGCAAUCUCGAGUCCGAGAGAGGUGAGUGGAAUUCCGAGUGUAGAGGUGAAAUUCGUAGAUAUUCGGAGGGACACCAGUGGCGAAGGCGGCUCACUGGCUCGGUAACUGA
Molecule: ribosomal RNA, 343 nt
Filed under: Mesorhizobium sp. Lc13
Lineage: Bacteria; Pseudomonadati; Pseudomonadota; Alphaproteobacteria; Hyphomicrobiales; Phyllobacteriaceae
Description: bacterial SSU rRNA
Rfam family: Bacterial small subunit ribosomal RNA
Source: RNAcentral